Molecule: ribosomal RNA, 616 nt
Filed under: Paenarthrobacter sp.
Lineage: Bacteria; Bacillati; Actinomycetota; Actinomycetes; Micrococcales; Micrococcaceae
Description: bacterial SSU rRNA
Rfam family: Bacterial small subunit ribosomal RNA
Source: RNAcentral
GAAUUCCUGGUGUAGCGGUGAAAUGCGCAGAUAUCAGGAGGAACACCGAUGGCGAAGGCAGGUCUCUGGGCUGUAACUGACGCUGAGGAGCGAAAGCAUGGGGAGCGAACAGGAUUAGAUACCCUGGUAGUCCAUGCCGUAAACGUUGGGCACUAGGUGUGGGGGACAUUCCACGUUUUCCGCGCCGUAGCUAACGCAUUAAGUGCCCCGCCUGGGGAGUACGGCCGCAAGGCUAAAACUCAAAGGAAUUGACGGGGGCCCGCACAAGCGGCGGAGCAUGCGGAUUAAUUCGAUGCAACGCGAAGAACCUUACCAAGGCUUGACAUGAACCGGAAAGACCUGGAAACAGGUGCCCCGCUUGCGGUCGGUUUACAGGUGGUGCAUGGUUGUCGUCAGCUCGUGUCGUGAGAUGUUGGGUUAAGUCCCGCAACGAGCGCAACCCUCGUUCUAUGUUGCCAGCGCGUUAUGGCGGGGACUCAUAGGAGACUGCCGGGGUCAACUCGGAGGAAGGUGGGGACGACGUCAAAUCAUCAUGCCCCUUAUGUCUUGGGCUUCACGCAUGCUACAAUGGCCGGUACAAAGGGUUGCGAUACUGUGAGGUGGAGCUAAUCCCAAA